GAUCACAUCUUGAUUGUUAGCAUC
Molecule: non-coding RNA, 24 nt
Filed under: Arabidopsis thaliana (thale cress)
Lineage: Eukaryota; Viridiplantae; Streptophyta; Magnoliopsida; Brassicales; Brassicaceae
Source: RNAcentral